This 462-nucleotide ribosomal RNA is filed under the name Burkholderia sp. Its description in RNAcentral is "bacterial SSU rRNA". It matches the Rfam family "Bacterial small subunit ribosomal RNA", at positions 481 to 943 of the family's 1533-position model. The record is from RNAcentral. Lineage: Bacteria; Pseudomonadati; Pseudomonadota; Betaproteobacteria; Burkholderiales; Burkholderiaceae.
GAAGAAUAAGCACCGGCUAACUACGUGCCAGCAGCCGCGGUAAUACGUAGGGUGCGAGCGUUAAUCGGAAUUACUGGGCGUAAAGCGUGCGCAGGCGGUUUGCUAAGACCGAUGUGAAAUCCCCGGGCUCAACCUGGGAACUGCAUUGGUGACUGGCAGGCUAGAGUAUGGCAGAGGGGGGUAGAAUUCCACGUGUAGCAGUGAAAUGCGUAGAGAUGUGGAGGAAUACCGAUGGCGAAGGCAGCCCCCUGGGCCAAUACUGACGCUCAUGCACGAAAGCGUGGGGAGCAAACAGGAUUAGAUACCCUGGUAGUCCACGCCCUAAACGAUGUCAACUAGUUGUUGGGGAUUCAUUUCCUUAGUAACGUAGCUAACGCGUGAAGUUGACCGCCUGGGGAGUACGGUCGCAAGAUUAAAACUCAAAGGAAUUGACGGGGACCCGCACAAGCGGUGGAUGAUGUG